CUCGGUUGCCAUUUGUCAGAGAGAGAAUACUCCUCCAUGGACGUUACAUGUUUAUAGAACCUGAAAAAAACAGCAGGCAGGUCUUAAGAGAUGGAAUACACAAAGAAAUGACUCUUGAGAAUCCCUUGGACUGCAAAGAGAUCCAACCAGUCAAUCCCAAAGUCAGUCCUGAAUAUGCAUUGGAAGGACUGAUGCUGAAGCUGAAACUCCAAUCCUUUGGCCACCUGAUGUGAAGAACUGACUCAUUGGCAGAGACUCCGAUGCUGAAAGAGUGAAGGCCGGAGUAGAAGGGGACGACAGAGGAUGAGAUGGCUGGAUGGCAUCACCGACUCGAUGGACAUGAAUUUGAGUAAGCUCUGGGAGUUGGUGAUGGACAGGGAGGCCUGGCAUGCUGCUGUCCAUGGGGUCGCAAAGAGUUGGACACGACUGAGCAACUGAACUGAAGAUUCCUAUUAUUCAUAUAAUGGACCCCUUUGAGCAAACACUGUACAACCUUAGAAUCAAGCAGAUAGAGAGCACACUUUGAGAAAGACUGUACUGCGUCUCCCAGUAAAAGUCAUCCCUGAUGGAAGAAGUGUUCUCUCCUCCCAUGGGGUGCAGAGUCUGGAGGUGAUAUCAGAAGUGCUCGGGCGUCCAGCACGGAUGCUGCAGGGCAGUUCAUCCCCGGCAUCUUCCCGCUCCCGCAGCCCUGCAGGGGAGACCACGGAGGCCCCAGUGUGCUGGAGAACAGAGCAAGUAUCAAAGAACCCAGUCCCUUGCAGAACCAGGCAUGCUCCCAUCUCCACCCAAGUUUAACGUGUUGUCCAGUCAGUAACAGCCCCCUUCCUUGCAGAAGUGUUGCCUAGGACUGUCCCCCACCCUAAAUCUUGCUCAUAAUUAAGUUCAAGAACAGAAUUAGACAAUAGUCAGACUACAAAGCAGGCAGCAGUGGGCAGGGGGCAGGAGCACAGACUUUGGAGUCAGACCUGGGAUCGACACAAUUCACUAGUCAUGUGAUUGUGGACAAGCUUUUGAACUACAGUGAGGAUCAGUUUCUUCUGCAAAAACGGGAAUAAUCCCUGCUUCGCCAGACUGUGGUGAGAAUUGAAGAGCACAACUUGAUGUUUGCAUUUUAUUUCCUUCUUGUCCCUAGAACAGCAUGUAAUGUUAUUUCCAGGAGGCAGAAAAAGCAUAAGACUUUAUCUAGAGUCCUGAAUAAUUGAUAAAAAUUUUGC
Long non-coding RNA from Bos taurus (domestic cattle), 1214 nucleotides. The record is from Ensembl. Lineage: Eukaryota; Metazoa; Chordata; Mammalia; Artiodactyla; Bovidae.